UACACUCCUGCGGGAGGCAGCAGUGGGGAAUAUUGGACAAUGGGCGCAAGCCUGAUCCAGCCAUGCCGCGUGAGUGAUGAAGGCCCUAGGGUUGUAAAGCUCUUUUGUGCGGGAAGAUAAUGACGGUACCGCAAGAAUAAGCCCCGGCUAACUUCGUGCCAGCAGCCGCGGUAAUACGAAGGGGGCUAGCGUUGCUCGGAAUCACUGGGCGUAAAGGGUGCGUAGGCGGGUCUUUAAGUCAGGGGUGAAAUCCUGGAGCUCAACUCCAGAACUGCCUUUGAUACUGAAGAUCUUGAGUUCGGGAGAGGUGAGUGGAACUGCGAGUGUAGAGGUGAAAUUCGUAGAUAUUCGCAAGAACACCAGUGGCGAAGGCGGCUCACUGGCCCGAUACUGACGCUGAGGCACGAAAGCGUGGGGAGCAAACAGGAUUAGAAACCCGAGUAGUCCCAUGAU
Molecule: ribosomal RNA, 453 nt
Filed under: uncultured organism
Description: partial 16S ribosomal RNA
Rfam family: Bacterial small subunit ribosomal RNA
Source: RNAcentral